RNAcentral lists this ribosomal RNA (560 nucleotides) under uncultured bacterium. Its description in RNAcentral is "partial 16S ribosomal RNA". It matches the Rfam family "Bacterial small subunit ribosomal RNA", at positions 355 to 1375 of the family's 1533-position model. The record is from RNAcentral.
UGGGGAAUAUUGGACAAUGGGCGCAAGCCUGAUCCAGCCAUGCCGCGUGAGUGAUGAAGGCCUUAGGGUUGUAAAGCUCUUUCGGCGGGGACGAUAAUGACGGUACCCGCAGAAGAAGCCCCGGCUAACUUCGUGCCAGCAGCCGCGGUAAUACGAAGGGGGCUAGCGUUGCUCGGAAUCACUGGGCGUAAAGGGCGCGUAGGCGGACAUUUAAGUCGGGGGUGAAAGCCCAGGGCUCAACCCUGGAAUUGCCUCCGAUACUGGGUGUCUCGAGACCGGAAGAGGUGAGUGGAACUGCGAGUGUAGAGGUGAAAUUCGUAGAUAUUCGCAAGAACACCAGUGGCGAAGGCGGCUCACUGGUCCGGUUCUGACGCUGAGGCGCGAAAGCGUGGGGAGCAAACAGGAUUAGAUACCCUGGUAGUCCACGCCGUAAACGAUGGAUGCUAGCCGUUGGCAGGCUUGCCUGUCAGUGGCGCAGCUAACGCUUUAAGCAUCCCGCCUGGGGAGUACGGCCGCAAGGUUAAAACUUAAAGGAAUUGACGGGGUCAUAGCUGUUUCCU